Oxyura jamaicensis (ruddy duck) is the source of this 293-nucleotide long non-coding RNA. RefSeq lists it as uncharacterized. NCBI's taxonomy places the organism in Eukaryota, Metazoa, Chordata, Aves, Anseriformes, Anatidae. The transcript has 2 exons. The record is from RefSeq and is a predicted model, not a curated record.
GGAUAGGACCUAAAGUAAGCAGACCUUUGGAAUGCUUCCAUACAGGUUACAUAAGGUUUUGAAACUUUAUUCACUCCGUACCUAUUCAGAUCUACUAAAGUUGCCUUUUGAUCCAAACUGUCGUUAUCUGUGUCCACUGGGUGCUAAAGAUAAACAAAACUUGCAGAUUGAGCCCUGGUACGGGAAAAAAUAUUUAGCCAAAGACUUUCCUAUUGCUGCCCAAAAAUUAGUAGAUAAAAGCAACUGUUUUUGUGGUUUCUCCCCUACAUGCUCCUAUUCCUUUAAUUCUGGGA